CACGCCAUAAACGAUGAGCACUAGGUGUCGCGGGUAUUGACCCCUGCGGUGCCGCCGCUAACGCAUUAAGUGCUCCGCCUGGGGACUACGGCCGCAAGGUUAAAACUCAAAGGAAUUGAC
This 120-nucleotide ribosomal RNA is filed under the name uncultured bacterium. RNAcentral describes it as "partial 16S ribosomal RNA". It matches the Rfam family "Bacterial small subunit ribosomal RNA", at positions 796 to 914 of the family's 1533-position model. The record is from RNAcentral.